Molecule: small nucleolar RNA, 86 nt
Organism: Heterocephalus glaber (naked mole-rat)
Lineage: Eukaryota; Metazoa; Chordata; Mammalia; Rodentia; Bathyergidae
Source: Ensembl
UUUAGGAGCCAAUGAUGUUUUUAUUCAUGUCUGAACCUGUCUGAAGCAUUGCCAUGAUGCAACCUGUUGCUGAGGCUUCUUUGCCA